UAGGGAAUCUUCGGCAAUGGACGAAAGUCUGACCGAGCAACGCCGCGUGAGUGAAGAAGGUUUUCGGAUCGUAAAACUCUGUUGUUAGAGAAGAACAAGGACGUUAGUAACUGAACGUCCCCUGACGGUAUCUAACCAGAAAGCCACGGCUAACUACGUGCCAGCAGCCGCGGUAAUACGUAGGUGGCAAGCGUUGUCCGGAUUUAUUGGACGUAAAGCGAGCGCAGGCGGUUUCUUAAGUCUGAUGUGAAAGCCCCCGGCUCAACCGGGGAGGGUCAUUGGAAACUGGGAGACUUGAGUGCAGAAGAGGAGAGUGGAAUUCCAUGUGUAGCGGUGAAAUGCGUAGAUAUAUGGAGGAACACCAGUGGCGAAGGCGGCUCUCUGGUCUGUAACUGACGCUGAGGCUCGAAAGCGGGGGGAGCAAACAGG
Molecule: ribosomal RNA, 429 nt
Filed under: Gemmatimonadota bacterium
Lineage: Bacteria; Pseudomonadati; Gemmatimonadota
Description: Gemmatimonadetes bacterium partial 16S ribosomal RNA
Rfam family: Bacterial small subunit ribosomal RNA
Source: RNAcentral